CUAGCAUAUCAAUAAGCGGAGGAAAAGAAAGCAACAGCGAUAGCCUCAGUAACGGCGAGUGAAGCGGCUACAGCUCAAAUUUGAAAUCUGGCCUCCUUUGGGGGUCCGAGUUGUAAUUUGCAGAGGAUGCUUUGGCAUUGGCGGCGGUCUAAGUUCCUUGGAACAGGACAUCGCAGAGGGUGAGAAUCCCGUACGUGGGCGCCUGCCUUUGCCGUGUAAAGCUCCUUCGACGAGUCGAGUUGUUUGGGAAUGCAGCUCUAAAUGGGAGGUAAAUUUCUCCUAAAGCUAAAUACCGGCCAGAGACCGAUAGCGCACAAGUAGAGUGAUCGAAAGAUGAAAAGUACUUUGGAAAGAGAGUCAAAUAGCACGUGAAAUUGUUGAAAGGGAAGCGCUUGCAGCCAGACUUGCCCGCAGUUGCUCACCUAGGCUUUCGCCUGGGGCACUCUUCUGCGGGCAGGCCAGCAUCAGUUUGGGCGGUCGGAUAAAGGCCUCUGUCAUGUACCACCCUUCGGGGUGGCCUUAUAGGGGAGGCGUAAUGCGACCAGCCCGGACUGAGGUCCGCGCAUCUGCUAGGAUGCUGGCGUAAUGGCUGUAAGCGGCCCGUCUUGAAACACGGACCAAGGAGUCUAACAUCUAUGCGAGUGUUUGGGUGUCAAGCCCGGGCGCGCAAUGAAAGUGAACGGAGGUGGGAACCUUUCGGGGUGCACCAUCGACCGAUCCUGAAGUCUUCGGAUGGAUUUGAGUAAGAGCAUAGCUGUUGGGACCCGAAAGAUGGUGAACUAUGCUUGAAUAGGGUGAAGCCAGAGGAAACUCUGGUGGAGGCUCGCAGCGGUUCUGACGUGCAAAUCGAUCGUCAAAUUUGGGCAUAGGGGCGAAAGACUAAUCGAAUCAUCUAGUAGCUGGGUUCUGCGAGUCCUUCUCUUCAAGAACU
Molecule: ribosomal RNA, 931 nt
Filed under: Pseudopithomyces chartarum
Lineage: Eukaryota; Fungi; Ascomycota; Dothideomycetes; Pleosporales; Didymosphaeriaceae
Description: partial large subunit ribosomal RNA
Rfam family: Eukaryotic large subunit ribosomal RNA
Source: RNAcentral